Non-coding RNA from Chrysemys picta bellii (western painted turtle), 6191 nucleotides. The record is from RefSeq and is a predicted model, not a curated record. Lineage: Eukaryota; Metazoa; Chordata; Testudines; Emydidae.
CCAAGUACUGAUUUUGCCCCAGAUCCCUAAGUGGCCCCUUCAAGGAUUGAACUCACAACCCUGGGUUUAGCAGGCUAAUGCUCAAACCACUAAGCUAUCCCUCACCCCCCACUCACAUUGAUGAACACCUACUCAUGUAAGUAGUUUCAUUGAUGUCAUUAGGACUAUUUGCUUGUGUAAGUGCUUACCACCAGUGUGACUAAAGUUUUCCCAACUGGACCUUUUGCUUUUUGUUAACCCCCAUUUUUUUUUAACAUCUGAGAAACCCUGCAGAGAAGGACUCAUUUUGUUUAAGAUUCCGCACAUCUUGAGACCUUAAUUAAAGGGGAUGGAAAGCUCACAAUGGACAUUAGUAAGGAUGCAAGCAAAACCAAAGAAGAUCCAACAGUUCUGAUGUAAAAGCAAACAGAACCAUUUGAACCUUUUUCAUCCAUAGGCUUAUGUGUCUCUGUCUGACUAUGACUGAACCUCCCUUGAAUCCUGAACACCCGUUUGCUGCCCUUCUUCAGUGUUUCAAACUCAAAUUUAACAUUUAAAACCCCCCAACUUCUUAGCUUUAAAUGUGAUGUUAAAAGUAAAAGUUAAAAGUAAAGCUCCACAGUAUCUAGGGGCAGAGAGUUUGAAAAUGUUGAUGCAUAAGAGGCAAGUGCCCUUCUUCAAAAGGACUUUAACUUCAUGUAUGCAUUGGAACAAUCAACAGCCUUGAAUUCAUUGAAUGCAAUGUGCGAAAGGAGCUUAAGGUACAUCAAGAGGCAAUAGAAUAUAGUCAAGCAUUUGUCCACAUGUAAAUAGUUAAUUGACUGUGUUGUCAGACAUCAUGAUUCAAGGUUGUUCUAUUAUGCUCAACACAAAGCUGUGCAAUUACAGAAUUAUGCAAGUUGCAAAAUACAUUCAAGAUGACAAGGUUGUCUUAACCAUGGCAUUGGAAUGACAAUGAAUGAUUUUUUCCCCCUAGCUUAUUUUAGCCUACACAGCUCAGGUAUGGCAUCAGAUACUCAGUAUUGUCCUCAUUUUAUUCAUUUUUUCUGCUGGGAUGAACGAGGCAAAAAGAAGUCAAAUGUUUUGUUCAAGUGCAUACAUUCAUGCCAAAAUUGUGCAACAUUUAUAGGCCUGAUUUUCAAAAUUGUCAAACCCAACCAUUCAAAAAAUCUUAAGUCAGGCCCCUACAACAUCAUGGAAUAUUAAAAAAAUAAUAAAUUUUGUAUUUUUUUUCCUUUCUGGAUGCAGUUGGGUCAUGUUCUUAAACUUUGCUCCGCAACUAUGGGGGCUAGCCACUUUUGGAAUGAAAGCUGAGAUUCUUAUGAAGUAACAUGAUUCCAGGAGCUGAGGAAAGACUAAAUAUAACCAGAGUUGCCAACACUGGGGAUGCCUUACAUCUUGAGUAGCCUUUUUUACACCUGUGCUAAGUGACUGUGAGGAGGGUGUAGAAAGCUGCAACUAAUUUCCUAGGCAUUUUACACAGGUGUAAAAGAAUACACAAGGCUGGAGAACCACACCCUGUCUUGUUAAAACACUUUGCAAUCUUUGGACCUGAUUCUCUACUUUAAUACACCAGUUUUACAUUAGCACAUCUUCAGAUCAGUGAAAGGUAGGAUGAGGGAAUAGACAGGAGGCUGUGACUGCAGCAGAUAGGUGGGAUACAGGGAGGAAGGAAUUCACCUCUGCUUUGUGGUCACUUUGCACCAGCCUAGCUUGUAUUAAUUUAGCUGGCGCAGUAACGGCAAAGGGGCCAGAUGGCCUAGUUGGGCUCCCCAAGAGAUGCAGGUGGAGCUCCACCACCAGCUCUGAGUUGCCUCUACAGCAGCACAGCAGUGUUCUGUGGUGGGGGUGGAGGCAUGGUCAGGGAAAAUCUUUAUUCCAUUAAUGCCCUAUAGGGUCUCUUGCAGCCCUCUAUAUAGUAAGCUGCACCUCCUUCAUCACUGUGCAGGGAUGAGUCUUGCCCUGGAGCGUCAAAGGAAAAGUGUAUAGUUUUAAAUAUAAGUGAAUUAAAAUUAUUGGUAUUAGUAGGCAGAUGAAAAUAACUAAUUUUUUUGGUAAAUUGUUGUAUUUGUCAACUAACAUAACAGUGCUGGUUCUAAAAGGUAGCAAUCAGCAAUUUUUAUGGAAACUGGUAUACUGUGUCUUUCUGAAAGAGUUGAUCUGAGAGGAAAACUUGCUAGCAGACAAAUAUUAGAGGGCUAAAGAAGAGAUCAAUUUAUUUUGUUUGUUGGGAAACCACAAUUAUUGUAAAUCGUGGGCAGCUUUGGGAAAAGAAUUUCCAAGUGGAAAUGUUACCCUAUUUGUCUCUGACAGAAUUAAUGUGUGCUCUGUACCCCUACAGCUGUGGUAUUUAUGUCAGCCAGCUUCCCUGAGUGUGUCAAUGCCAGGGCUUCAUUUAAAUUAUGAAGAAGAGAGAUUGCAGAUUUUUUGAAGUUGAUAGCUACAAUUAUAAAAGUAUCAAGUUAUUACAGAGCCCCAUAGCAGUGUGAGUAAACCUAAGAAACAGAUAAUUCCUAAUAAAGAGGGAGGAAAAGAUGCAAAGAGAAAUGGAGGCGUUCAAAGGGAGAUAAAAUGCUAAAUCCCUAUGCAGGGUGGUGAUGGGAAACAAUCAAUAUGCUGUGCCACAGGAGCUACAGGGAUUAAAAUAACUGCAACACAAAAACAUUAUUAAGGGGCGGGGGGAGACAGGGAAUUAACAAAACCCCAAUAACAACAAAACAAACCUUGGCAGAUAGAAGAGACCAAUCAAGACAAGAAAUCGAGUUUUAAAAAUAUCGCACACCAAACAUUGUGCUCAACAUAAGAGAACAGAAGUAUAUUUAGAACCUGAAAUAAUCGAAGCAGGGUACUGGUUAUUGAGAAGUUUCCAGAUGUAAAUCAAGGAAUUUUGGUGCAGGAAAAUUAUCAUCCAGAUUAAAAAGAAAUUUACCUAUUGACUGUUUUCCUAAAACAUCUAUUACCAUGCAGUGAUCCUUCUUGCAUAGGGGGAAAAACACCACACAGUUUUGGGUUGAAAAUUUUCAGGGUUAUUUAAUUCUGUACUGAUUUUGACAUUGCCAUCUCCAGUAAUUGUCUAACUUGGCUAUUCACUAACUAUGUAUUGAACUUCAUUUCCAUGACAACUUCUUGUGUUAUAAUGUCUGAUAAUCUCAAAACACCUAAAAGAUGCUCAGAGGUUCAUCUCUGGUUUCCUAGGCAACGUCUUUCAUGUCAUCCCAGGAUAUCCCAAUGCAUUCAAGAGGCAUUCCAUCAACUUUUAAUAAUUGUACACUGACCUACGGUAUGCACAAUAUACAAAACUUAAAAUAUUAGAUGACAAAAAUCUUUAUUGAUUGUAUUCAGAAAUGUUGUUUCUCAGCUAGAAUCCAAUUAGUUUGCCCAAAUGCAUACAUUUUCUCCAUUAGGCCUGCAAAAACAAUGCUCUAAGAAGACAUGUAACCAUCCAGACCAAUCAGAGGAUUAAAAACAACUUUGCAUACCAAAAGAAAUAUUUUUUACUGUAUUAGUCACAAUUUCUUACCCCCUCAAAGUAAAAUACACGUAUAAAAAUAGAUAAAACAUUGCCAUCUGUGUGAAGAACAUCUGGAGAAAACCAAAGGAUGUAUUGAAAUGUAUGUACUCUUUCAGCUAGAUUACUGUGUAAUGGUUAAAAAAAGCAUAACAGGAAACCCACCCCAAUAUCUUUUGAAAGAUACUGAGGCCCACAAAAUGAGCAAACCUAAUUCUGUACCAUGUCUGGGGCUAUUCUAAAUUGUGCUGGCUUUUUAGAGCCCCACCAUAGCACAUUAUGCUGGUGCAGAAUAGCUGGAGCAUGCUGCUAUUUGACCACACUUCCUCAAGAGUGCCGGAACCUUUGUAGAGGUGGGGUGGGGAGGGCCAAGGCCAAAGUGGAUUCCUGUGUCCCUUCUACCCUAAUCCCUGCACCCUCCUCCUGUGCCCCUUCUCCCCAGUGUUGCUCUACCACCUCCAAACUACACCCAUGUUAAAAAGCCGGGAUGGGGGGCAUGGUCCCUUGGUUCCCCCCCCCAGUUCUGGUUCCAGUGAACCCCCUUCUUUCCAGCUUGUCCUGACAGGCUCCUGAAAUUGGGAGGGUGAUGGAUGUUGAGCUAUUAUGCUCUCUCCUCACUGGCUAGAGGGCCCCCUUUAGAGUGCCAUAUUCUGUGGUGGCAGUAUAAAAGUUGCUACAUCAUGAAGUAGAGUUGAGGCUGGGAUUUGUAGAAAGAGUCUGAAAAGUAAAGUAGAAAGCAGUUCAAAUCCCAAAUAUACAUUAUUUAAUAAGACAACAGUAUAUCAAAUCCAAGAUAUCCACACUUAAUUAAUUUAUCUACCUACCUCAUUUAAUCCUACCUUCUUGUUUUUUUUGCAACAUUACUCAGUUCCCUGUUAACCCAGAAACUAAUAUAGGGGCUGGUCUACAGUAGAUAGUUUUGACCUUUCAGCCAUUUGUUCAGGUGCCUGGAAUCAAUCUAGGUACUUAUAUAGACCUCAUCACCAUAGCAAUUCUGAGUUGGUGGCAUUUUACACUAACUUUGCACAGGUGCCAAGGACAACACUCGGUAGAAAGCAGCAGAAAAUAAGACAUUGGUUGGAAAUUAUUACUUGGUCAGACCUUGGGUGACUGUAACACAGAGGCCCAUUGACAGUUCACUAUUCUGUGUCAGCAACCUCUGUCAAGCCUGACAAACUCAGUACAUCUGACACACUGUUGUCAUGAUAUAUACCCAAAAGGUGGCAUGUAAUAUAUUAUUAGAAAACUAAUAACUAAUUGAUCAUUAAUAUUCUUGCAUGAUGUAUAUAUGGGAUAUGUACAAAGAAUUAUAAACGUGCUGAAAUUAUUUUCUUGAUGUGUUUGGCAAACAAUGUAUAAAGCCAGUCUCCCCUAGCUAAAGGAAUAUGUAUUUGCUUGUCUGAGCAGCCUGGUCUUCAGGUGGAGACAACGAAGGUCACUUUACAUAUCAAAUAAACAAAGAAAGAAGCUUUGGGCUUAUUUUUCAAAUAAUACAUUUUUACAGGGCUAUAAAAAGAAGGGGAGAGAACCCCACAAUUAUCCUUCACCUGAGGACACAAAGGACCUGAGCACUUUGAGUUCUGUGAAGGAUCCUGGCCAGAGCGUCUGGCCAGCCAUGCUGGAAAAGAAACUUGGAUUUAACCCCAGCAGAACAAUGGAAAUUCAUGUAUCUGAAAUAGUGUGUUGUCACAGAGCUACAGGAUUGGUGCUCUAGAACAAGCUUCGGAAUGGUGUGUGCCAGACCCCCGUGGUCUUGCUUUUCCUCCAGGGUAAGUCAUGCAGCUUCACUGCCUCCUUAGACUUGACCUCUGGGCCUGCAUCACUCCUGCUUCACAGCAUAAGCUGCAUUCAGCGAGUCCAACUGAGACAGAACCCUGAUGGAGACUCUUCAGAGAUUAAUGCACCUCACCAAGCAUUCGCAGUGACACUCACAAGGGUUUAUUUGUUAACUGGAACACAGCAUAGGAAGUCCUUAGGGCAGUCUAGAGAAAUGAAGGUUAAAGCAUAGUCCAUAGCCUAGCCAAGCUUCAGUGAACCCUCUGGUUCAAAGCUCUGUCUCUUUCUCUGUCUUCUGACCUCCUUUGUCAGACUCCAUGUGAGAUCCCUGAUUCCUUCCAGCAGCUAACUCUUAUCACCCACCUCCCACCUUCCCAGUCCUUUGACCUCGAGCUGGGGAAUUGUUGUUCAGCUUCCCUAAGGAGAGGCAGGCAAGUCCCUAUUCCUCUGGGUCAUUGGUUGCUAGGUGGCGAUUGGAUUUGCCAUUAUCUUCUCAGAUGCUCCACUGACAUGGGGAUUAAGGCCCAGAAAACUAGGCAACACCCACACACUCUCUCUCUCUCUUAGCCUGCCUAGGGGAAAACAGUCCUUUCCUUCCCACCCGGGAACAAUGCAGCAUAUAUGGGGAAACUGAGGCACAAAUAGGACUCAUAAAAUAUUACAGAAUAUUCUCACUUUGUCACGUGUAUAUUAUGCAUACUGAAUCUAUUUUUUAAAAUGCCCCAUGUAUUAAUUACACUUCAGUUUUAAGAGCAAUCCCUGCACUGUUGACAUUUUAAAGAGAGAGAGUCAUAGUGACAGCAGCAAUGUGCUGGGAAUUGCUAAAAUCCCACAGUCCAGGGAGGGGGAUCUGGUACUUGUACAUACUAGUAAAGGACGUUUAUGUUCUUGUUGUACUUUUGGCAUUAAAGAUAUUGCAAAUCUGUAA